AGCAGCCGCGGUAAUUCCAGCUCCAAUAGCGUAUAUUAAAGUUGUUGCAGUUAAAAAGCUCGUAGUUGAAUUUCGGGAUCAAAUUGUUGGUCGUGCUUCGGUACGCACUGGCAUUAUUGGUUCCUACCUUCUGAAGAACCGCGAUGUCAUUAAUUUGGUGUCGUGGGGAAUCAGGACUGUUACUUUGAAAAAUUAGAGUGUUUAAAGCAGGCGUACGCUUGAAUACAUUAGCAUGGAAUAAUGAAAUAGGACGUUUGAUUCUAUUUUGUUGGUUUCUAGGAUCGACGUAAUGGUUAAUAGGGAUAGUUGGGGGCAUUAGUAUUCAAUUGUCAGAGGUGAAAUUCUUGGAUUUAUUGAAGACUAACUACUGCGAAAGCAUUUGCCAAGGAUGUUUUCAUUAAUCAAGAACGAAAGUUAGGGGAUCGAAGACGAUCAGAUACCGUCGUAGUCUUAACCAUAAACUAUGCCGACUAGGGAUCGGAUGAUGUUAAUUUUUUAAUGUACUCAUUCGGCGCCUUAC
RNAcentral lists this ribosomal RNA (520 nucleotides) under uncultured Glomus. RNAcentral describes it as "SSU rRNA". It matches the Rfam family "Eukaryotic small subunit ribosomal RNA", at positions 569 to 1091 of the family's 1831-position model. Lineage: Eukaryota; Fungi; Glomeromycota; Glomeromycetes; Glomerales; Glomeraceae. The record is from RNAcentral.